CAGGCAUGUAUGAUGACGGAACUUUUUU
Molecule: non-coding RNA, 28 nt
Filed under: Cricetulus griseus (Chinese hamster)
Lineage: Eukaryota; Metazoa; Chordata; Mammalia; Rodentia; Cricetidae
Source: RNAcentral